GAGGAAAAGAAACUAACAAGGAUUCCCCUAGUAACGGCGAGUGAAGAGGGAAGAGCUCAAAUUUGAAAGCUGGUACCUUCGGUAUCCGCGUUGUAACCUCGAGACACGUUUUCCGUGCGGCGCUAUGGACAAGUUCCUUGGAACAGGACAUCGUAGAGGGUGAAAAUCCCGUACUUGCCAUGGAUGUACCGUGCUUUGCGAUACGUGCUCUAAGAGUCGAGUUGUUUGGGAUUGCAGCUCAAAAUGGGUGGUAGACUCCAUCUAAAGCUAAAUAUCGGGGAGAGACCGAUAGCGAACAAGUACCGUGAGGGAAAGAUGAAAAGCACUUUGGAAAGAGAGUUAAAAGUACGUGAAAUUGUCGAAAGGGAAGCGCUUGAAGUCAGCCAUGCCGCUCAGGACUCAGCCUGGCUUUUGCUUGGUGUAUUUCCUGGGUAGCAAGUCAGCAUUGGUUUGGAUCGUCGGAGAAGCAUAGUCGGAAUGUGGCGCCCUCGGGCGUGUUAUAGCCUUCUAUUGGAUACGACGAUCUAGACCAAGGAACGCAGCGCGCCUUAUGGCGGGUCUUCGGACACCUUCGCGCUUAGGAUGCUGGCGUAAUGGCUUUAAGUGG
This 607-nucleotide ribosomal RNA is filed under the name Malassezia furfur. Its description in RNAcentral is "eukaryotic LSU rRNA". It matches the Rfam family "Eukaryotic large subunit ribosomal RNA", at positions 53 to 647 of the family's 3401-position model. The record is from RNAcentral. Lineage: Eukaryota; Fungi; Basidiomycota; Malasseziomycetes; Malasseziales; Malasseziaceae.